AGGGAAUAUUGCGCAAUGGGGGAAACCCUGACGCAGCGACGCCGCGUGAGUGAUGAAGGCCUUCGGGUCGUAAAGCUCUGUUGCAGGGGAAUAAAAAAAUGAAGGUACCCUGUGAGGAAGGAUCGGCUAACUUCGUGCCAGCAGCCGCGGUAAGACGAGGGAUCCUAGCGUUGCUCGGAAUCAUUGGGCGUAAAGAGGGCGUAGGUGGCUUGGUAAGUCAGGUGUGAAAGCCCAGGGCUCAACCCUGGAAGUGCAUUUGAUACUGCUGAGCUUGAGUGUCGGAGAGGUUACCGGAAUACCUGGUGUAGUGGUGAAAUACGUAGAUAUCAGGUGGAACACCGGAGGCGAAGGCGGGUAACUGGACGAACACUGACACUGAGGCCCGAAAGCGUGGGGAUCAAAC
This 403-nucleotide ribosomal RNA is filed under the name uncultured bacterium. RNAcentral's name for it is "bacterial SSU rRNA". It matches the Rfam family "Bacterial small subunit ribosomal RNA", at positions 356 to 773 of the family's 1533-position model. The record is from RNAcentral.